RNAcentral lists this unclassified non-coding RNA (490 nucleotides) under Aspergillus sp. 10 JS-2017. RNAcentral describes it as "sequence contains ITS1, 5.8S rRNA gene and ITS2". The stretch from base 107 to 260 matches the Rfam family "5.8S ribosomal RNA". The record is from RNAcentral. Lineage: Eukaryota; Fungi; Ascomycota; Eurotiomycetes; Eurotiales; Aspergillaceae.
CUGACCAACGUUGCUUCGGCGGUGCGCCCCCCCGGGGGUAGCCGCCGGAGACCACAUUGAACCUCUUGUCUUUAGUGUUGUCUGAGCUUGAUAGCAAACCUAUUAAAACUUUCAACAAUGGAUCUCUUGGUUCCGGCAUCGAUGAAGAACGCAGCGAACUGCGAUAAGUAAUGUGAAUUGCAGAAUUCAGUGAAUCAUCGAGUCUUUGAACGCACAUUGCGCCCCCUGGCAUUCCGGGGGGCAUGCCUGUCCGAGCGUCAUUGCUGCCCUUCAAGCCCGGCUUGUGUGUUGGGUCGUCGUCCCCCCCGGGGGACGGGCCCGAAAGGCAGCGGCGGCACCGCGUCCGGUCCUCGAGCGUAUGGGGCUUUGUCACCCGCUCGAUUAGGGCCGGCCGGGCGCCAGCCGGCGUCUCCAACCUUUUAUUUUACCAGGUUGACCUCGGAUCAGGUAGGGAUACCCGCUGAACUUAAGCAUAUCAAUAAGCGGAGGA